GACGAACGCUGGCGGCGUGCUUAACACAUGCAAGUCGAACGGAAAGGCCCUGCUUGUGUGGGGUGCUCGAGUGGCGAACGGGUGAGUAACACGUGUGUAACCUGCCCGUGACUUUGGGAUAACUUCAGGAAACUGGGGCUAAUACCGGAUAGGAGCUCCUGCUGCAUGGUGGGGUUUGGAAAGUUUCGGCGGUUGGGGAUGGACUCGCGGCUUAUCAGCUUGUUGGUGGGGUAGUGGCUUACCAAGGCUUUGACGGGUAGCCGGCCUGAGAGGGUGACCGGCCACAUGGGGACUGAGAUAGGGCCAGGACUCCUACGGGAGGAAGCAGUGGGGAAUAUUGCCAAAUGGGGGGAGGCCUGAUGCAGCAACGCGGCGUGCGGGAUGACGGCCUCCGGGCUGUAAACCGCUUUCGCCUGUGCCGAAGCGUGAGUGACGGUAAUGGGUAAAGAAGCACCGGCUAACUACGUG
RNAcentral lists this ribosomal RNA (468 nucleotides) under uncultured bacterium. RNAcentral's name for it is "partial 16S ribosomal RNA". It matches the Rfam family "Bacterial small subunit ribosomal RNA", at positions 28 to 507 of the family's 1533-position model. The record is from RNAcentral.